This 460-nucleotide ribosomal RNA is filed under the name uncultured bacterium. RNAcentral's name for it is "partial 16S ribosomal RNA". It matches the Rfam family "Bacterial small subunit ribosomal RNA", at positions 338 to 795 of the family's 1533-position model. The record is from RNAcentral.
CCUACGGGUGGCAGCAGUGAGGAAUAUUGGUCAAUGGGCGGGAGCCUGAACCAGCCAAGCCGCGUGAGGGAAGAAGGUACAGCGUAUCGUAAACCUCUUUUGUCAGGGAACAAAGGCGGGGACUAGUCCCCGGAUGAGGGUACCUGAAGAAAAAGCAUCGGCUAACUCCGUGCCAGCAGCCGCGGUAAUACGGAGGAUCCAAGCGUUAUCCGGAUUUAUUGGGUUUAAAGGGUGCGUAGGCGGAUUGAUAAGUUAGAGGUGAAAUGUCCGAGCUUAACUCGGGAACUGCCUCUAAUACUGUUGAUCUAGAGAGUAGAUGCGGUAGGCGGAAUGUAUGGUGUAGCGGUGAAAUGCUUAGAUAUCACGAAGAACUCCGAUUGCGAAGGCAGCCUACUAAACUGCCACUGACAUUGAUGCUCGAAAGUGUGGGUAUCAAACAGGAUUAGAUACCCGAGUAGUC